Molecule: ribosomal RNA, 454 nt
Filed under: uncultured bacterium
Lineage: Bacteria
Description: partial 16S ribosomal RNA
Rfam family: Bacterial small subunit ribosomal RNA
Source: RNAcentral
GAUGAGCGCUGACAGAAUGCUUAACACAUGCAAGUCUACUUGAACUUCGGUUUGGGUGGCGGACGGGUGAGUAACGCGUAAAGAACUUGCCUCACAGUUAGGGACAACAUUUGGAAACGAAUGCUAAUACCUGAUAUUAUGAUUUUAGGGCAUCCUAGGAUUAUGAAAGCUAUAUGUGCUGUGAGAGAGCUUUGCGUCCCAUUAGCUAGUUGGAGAGGUAACGGCUCACCAAGGCGAUGAUGGGUAGCCGGCCUGAGAGGGUGAACGGCCACAAGGGGACUGAGACACGGCCCUUACUCCUACGGGAGGCAGCAGUGGGGAAUAUUGGACAAUGGACCAAAAGUCUGAUCCAGCAAUUCUGCGUGCACGAUGACGUUUUUCGGAAUGUAAAGUGCUUUCAGUUGGGAAGAAAAAAAUGACGGUACCAACAGAAGAAGUGACGGCUAAAUACGUG